RNAcentral lists this ribosomal RNA (562 nucleotides) under Epicoccum nigrum. RNAcentral describes it as "eukaryotic LSU rRNA". The stretch from base 201 to 354 matches the Rfam family "5.8S ribosomal RNA". Lineage: Eukaryota; Fungi; Ascomycota; Dothideomycetes; Pleosporales; Didymellaceae. The record is from RNAcentral.
UGAGGAAGUAAAAGUCGUAACAAGGUUUCCGUAGGUGAACCUGCGGAAGGAUCAUUACCUAGAGUUUGUGGACUUCGGUCUGCUACCUCUUACCCAUGUCUUUUGAGUACCUUCGUUUCCUCGGCGGGUCCGCCCGCCGGUUGGACAACAUUCAAACCCUUUGCAGUUGCAAUCAGCGUCUGAAAAAACUUAAUAGUUACAACUUUCAACAACGGAUCUCUUGGUUCUGGCAUCGAUGAAGAACGCAGCGAAAUGCGAUAAGUAGUGUGAAUUGCAGAAUUCAGUGAAUCAUCGAAUCUUUGAACGCACAUUGCGCCCCUUGGUAUUCCAUGGGGCAUGCCUGUUCGAGCGUCAUUUGUACCUUCAAGCUCUGCUUGGUGUUGGGUGUUUUGUCUCGCCUCCGCGCGCAGACUCGCCUUAAAACAAUUGGCAGCCGGCGUAUUGAUUUCGGAGCGCAGUACAUCUCGCGCUUUGCACUCAUAACGACGACGUCCAAAAGUACAUUUUUACACUCUUGACCUCGGAUCAGGUAGGGAUACCCGCUGAACUUAAGCAUAUCAUA